UUUUACUCAACCUACACAUGCAAGUCUCCGCACCCCGGUGAGAACGCCCCUAAGCCCUCCUGGGCCUAAAGGAGCUGGUAUAAGGCGCAUAUGCCCAAGACACCUAGCCAUGCCACACCCACAAGGGCCCGCAGCAGUGAUUAAUAUUGAAUAUUAGCGCAAGCUAGAUUCAGUCAGAGUAAACAGGGCUGGCAAAUCUGGUGCCAGCCGCCGCGGUUAUACCAGCAGCCCAAAUUGAUUUCUAUCGGCGUAAAGAGUGGUUAAAAACUUUUUCAAAACUAGAGCUAAACAUAGGUCUGAUCGUUAAAAAUUUACUAAAGGAAACCCCCAAACGAAAGUUGCUCUACUUAACCCCACUUGAACCCACGAAAGCUAGGACAUAAACUGGGAUUAGAUACCCCAUUAUACCUUGCCGUAAACUUUAAUUUACACCGUAUCGCCAGGGAACUACGAGCCAAGCUUAAAACCCAAAGGACUUGACGGUGCCCCAUACCCCCCUAGAGGAGCCUGUCCCGUAAUCGAUGAUCCCCGUUUAACCUCACCGCUUCUGGCUUACCAGCCUGUAUACUUCCGUCGCCAGCCUACCUCAUGAGCGAAACUCAGUUAGCCCAAUGACCACUAUCAUUUACACCGUCAAUACGUCAGGUCAAAGUGCAGCAAAUGAAGCGGGAAAAAGAUUGGCUACACUUUUUAACAUAAAAGAUACGAAAGACAAAAAAUGAAAAUUUGUCCGAAGGUGGAUUUAGAAGUAAAAAGACUUCAUCAUAUUCUUUUUAACAAGGCACUGGGGCGUGUACACACCGCCCGUCACCCUCUUCAACAAAACUACUUAUAGUAUUUAACAAAUAAUUUUUACCUAAGAAGAGGCAAGUCGUAACAUGGUAAGUAUACCGGAAGGUGUACUUGGAAC
This 910-nucleotide non-coding RNA is filed under the name Eleutherodactylus leberi. Its description in RNAcentral is "partial 12S ribosomal RNA". It matches the Rfam family "Bacterial small subunit ribosomal RNA". The record is from RNAcentral. Lineage: Eukaryota; Metazoa; Chordata; Amphibia; Anura; Eleutherodactylidae.